Molecule: long non-coding RNA, 6468 nt
Filed under: Triticum aestivum (bread wheat)
Lineage: Eukaryota; Viridiplantae; Streptophyta; Magnoliopsida; Poales; Poaceae
Description: long non-coding RNA (TAES_LNC016193)
Source: RNAcentral
UGGGAGGGGAUCAAAAUCCCUAGCCGCAUCUCCAUUGCAAUCAGGCCUGGCAUCUCCAUCUCCCUCACCCUCCUUCUCCACCUCCGGCCGCCGCCACGGCCAGGCCAGCGUGGUGGUGCGCCCCUCACCAUCACACCAUCACCACCAUCGCCGCCAGCCACGACCAUCUCCACCACGCACCACCAGCACCACUUCCCACGAGCCGCACCUCACACCACCACCAGCACCACGCCAUCUCCAUCUUCGCCGCCGCGCCACCGCUCGCACAAUCUCUUCUUCCCCUGCUGCUCCUUCCUUCUCCUCACCACGCUGCUGCUUCCCCUCUCACGCCCCUGGUACUGCUCCUUCUCACAUUCCUGCUGCUGCUGCUGCUCGUCUUGUGCCCCUGGUGCUGCUCCUCCUUCCCUCGUCCUUGCUGCUGCUCUCUCCCUCUCUGUUGCUCUUCUCUGAAUCCCCUACUGCUGCUACUCCACUUCCUGUGCUCCCCUUCUUCUUCUAUGAAUCUCGCUGCUGCUGCUCCUCCUCUUAAAACGGCUGCUGCUCCCUCUCCCACUUUCCUCGCUGCUGUUCCCUCUCUCUUCUCACCAAAAUUGCUGAUGUCCUCUUCUCCAUUUGCGUGCUGCCACACCCUUCCUGAAGCUCUCUCAACUUUAUUUUGUUCUGUAUUAGUACUAUUUUGUCUGUAUGUCAGUUAGUUUGCUGUAAUAAUUCAGAUUACUUGUGAUCUUUGUGUUGAAUGUGAUUUCAGUGAACUUGAGAUUUGUAAUAUUGCUCAAUAUUCAGUCUAUAAUGUCUAAAACUUUGUGAUUCGGUGGUGUCUAUAUUCAAUAUAUAUAACCUGUGAUAUAUAUCUUUUAGAUGGUUCAAUCUUUUAGUUAUUGUUGUACUGAUAUAUGUUAAGGUGAUUUGGCUUGUGUGAUACGAGUCUAGUACAUGUGCUAUAUAAAUUCGUGUGUGUUUCUGGUGUAAACCAUCUAUAUUGUGUCUUUUAAUCUUGUUUCUUCCUUCUUCUUACAUGUUAGAUGGUUAUGUGUUCAUGUGUUGCAUCUUCUCGGUGUGUAUUUUAAUUCUUCUAGUAUAAUAAAAAUACCAAAAAGACAGUGAAGAAAAUCUGAACCUUCCUUUGCCCUUUUUGCAUUUUCUUUGGUGACGAUCUUUGGGUACAACCUUGUUUAGUGUAGGUUUAUUUUCUUGCAUUCAUAAUCUGAAUUGUGUUACCUAGCUUUAGCCAAGCACGUUCAUUGAUUUGCCUAGUCCCUGAGGAGAACACGACACUCGUAGUUUGGGGCGUAAAAACCCCGCUAUAUUACAACUGAUCAUUUUGGCGCCGUUGCCGGGGACUAGCGUCGUGUGACUGUGUUAGGCUUUAGACUAGGUUUAGCUUGUUUCCUUUUUGUGCUUUAUAUAUUUGUGAUAUAUCUCUAGCCACUAACCCCUAUUCUAGUUAGUAUCUUUUCGUCUUCUUUUCCUUUUUUGCAGGUUGGAUUAUCCUCUCGGCUAUGGCUUACUAUUCAGGCUUAUGCGAGGAACACUACAAACAGCACGGAAAGUGUUCAAGAACUGAUAGGUAAGAUUUCCCAUCGAUUAGAUGAUUUAGCUCGGCAGCGAGAAGGAGUUUUUGAGGAUAGGCCUAGUUCUUACGAUCCUUAUUCCAGAGGCCAUCCUUAUGUUGCUCCUACUUGCCAUAUUUGUGGAUUUCAGGGCCAUUCGCCCGCUGAAUGUCAGCGUGGUUACUCCCAUCCUACGGAUUGUUUUGGCAUGAGCUUCGCUCAACAGCAUAGCUCAUACCAAAACAAUUACUCACAUGGGUGGCCUGAAAGCCUGAAUAUGUCAUAUAGGAGCAACAACCCUAAGAUCUCACAGUUUGGUUCUAGUAAUCAUAUGCAGGGAUUUAGGUACAAUGAGGAGAGCCACAACUAUGCACCACAACAAUUCCAUUCAGCUCCUACUCAUAUACCACAGCACCAGGAGAUGUGUCCAAUGGAGUUAAAUGGUCCUCCAUUUGGUCAACCAACAACUCCAGCACCUGUUGUGCAAUCUCAUGUGCAAGUGCCCACACAAGAUGAGUUCAAUGACAUAGACAAGCUCACACUUUUGAGUCUCGAGUUCACUUGGAGUGCCGAGGAUGAUCCUAUUAGGAAGGUUAUACUAGAUGAAAUGAAGAAGAUCAAGAGUGGAAAAGAGCUAGUGGAAGAAGUAAGGAAGAUUGAGAACAACAUCAACACUGGCAGCACUAUUUCUUCACAGCUAGAGCUGAGUGUUGCCGAGAUUCCCCUUGAUACAUGUGAGGUUCCAACACCGUCACAUCCAGUUGAGCAAGAUAGUAAGAGUCCAGAGGAAGAAAGACCUCAGAUUGAAGAAGAUGAACUAGAAGACAAGGAACAAGAUGAUCAAGAGCUGCAAUUCCCAAGUGAUCAAGUUGAAGACUCAUCAUCUACUACUCCUAAAGAAGUACAAGAAGCUGCUGUAGAUGAAGAUGAAGAACAUGAGAUUCAUUUGCCUAUUGUCAUACCAGAGCGUGAUGUGUCAGGUUUACCCAAUCCUCUUGAUGACAUGAUGCCUUGUAAUUUCUUUGCUACUACCUUGCAUUACAUGAUACCAUCAAUUAAGCUAGACUUGAAAAAUUAUUUGCUUGGACAUGAUCAUACAUACAUUGUUGGUGGCAUUGCUCUCAUUCCUGAUGAUGACACUUAUUUUCCUUAUGCUAGUUCUAUGCUUAAUGAAACAUAUUAUUCCCAUGCUAGUCUUGAGCUUAAUGAUAAAUUUCAUCCUCAUGUUAGUGUCGACCUUGCUGAUUUCUACCAUCCUAAACAUGUGCUUUAUAGUUAUGCUUAUAUAAUUGGAUAUUACAUUGAUGACUUGGAGGGCAUCGACCGUAUCACUUGUAGUUGUUUGUGUGAGUCCUAUUUCAGGCUUUUGCUACUGCACUGUUUACUACAUGCUGACCAGGUUCGAGGUGACAUUCCUUGGGAUCCUGGUGGAGUCAGAGCAUGGCGAUGAGGAGAAGCAAUGGGGCACACAUAUGGAAGAGUGAAGCUGGAGCAUCCAUGAGGAAGCAAGGGAGAAGAGCUGCAGCUGGUGAGGUGAUCGAGCGAGUGCUACAUCAUCAAAGCCCGGUGAGCUGUUUCAUGACCCAUUCUGAAUAUCAUAAAUACAUGCUGAAUUAAAUUGCUAGUUGGGUUGCUUGAGCUAGUUAUUACUUGUUGUCAAGCUGAAAUUCACCUUUGGCAUUGUGCUUGAUGUGAAUUUGUGAACUUGAUUUCUGAAUGCCUUGUAAACUAGUGAUCUACACCAUGCAUGCUUUGCUGAAAUUUGUGGAAGUUAUUAGUUUUGAGUGCUCAAAUCCCUAGUACACUAGAAAACUUGAUCAUUUUCUGCUUUUACCUUGAUACACCUAGAUCACCAUGUUUAGAUGCUGAAUUUGUGCUAAGUGUGUUCCCAUUGAGAGCAAUCACCUAACCACUAUGGAUUAGCAUGCUAUGUUCCCUGGAUCGGUAGCAUGUGAACCAGACAUGGAGAAGCGAUGAUUCCUAUUUUUGUGCUUAUGAGUUGUUCAUUUAAGAUAAGUAAUAAUGAAUAUAUAAGUCUGGCUACCUACAGUAGCAUGUCAUGUUACCGGGAUCGGUGGCAUGUGAAAUCGGGUUAGCUUGGGCAGUAAUUAAUAAUAAUAAAAAUGUAAUUGUCGAACCAGGUGUAUACCAUGUUCUCGGGAUCGGUGGUAUGUUCCUUUGGGGAGACAAAUAAUUUUUUUUAAUUAAAAUUGGUUGAGCCAGGUGUAUACCAUGUUCUCGGGAUCGGUGGUAUGUUCCUUCGGUGAGACUAAUAAAUUAUUAUGUGUGUUUCUUUCAAAUUCAAUAAGUGGUUCAACCACAAAGUCAUAUUUCUGCAAAUAAGAGACUUAAUUCUAGUUCUUUUUGUUCUCGGGAUCAUGCUCUCUUUAGGAACCAUUUGGCGCAGUCAUCAUUUAAACUUGUUGAUCCUCUUUUAUCACUUUAAAAGUUUAAAAUGGUCAUGCUUACUAGUAUCCUACUGCUUUGUAGCACUCCUAACCAUUAAUUUUCACUAGCUAAGUCUGAAGCAUGCCUUGUUUGGAGAUCUAUUUUACCAGGACAUUCCUUACUCAGUUUACUAUUCAUUAUCUUGCCUUUGUCAUAUUCCUUUGCUUGAGGACAAGCAAAGAUUUAAGUGUGGGGGAACUUGAUAAGUGCAUUUCAUAUAUAUAAUUUGGCACUCAAAUUUAGCAUCUAUCGUGAUUUAUCCAUCCAUUCUUGCUAUGAGUUUAAAUAUAUUUGAAUGAAAAUCAUAUAAAAGAUCAUUUACUUGUCAUUUGUUUAUUUUGCAGAAAAGUGCGAUAAGGCACUAUAAUCUUGAAGAUCUUGUCUACAAAGAAAGAGGAUACAAGACCGAGGGCCAAUAGAAGAGAAGGGGGGACUCGAGUAUGAAGAAUUAAAGAAAUGGAGGGCCAAAACUAAAGAAGAAAGGGAUCUACUUGAGGCUAAAGAAGAGAAGAAGGAGGGCAAAAGUGCAAAAAUGCAGAUCUGGGAGGGGAUCAAAAUCCCUAGCCGCAUCUCCAUUGCAAUCAGGCCUGGCAUCUCCAUCUCCCUCACCCUCCUUCUCCACCUCCGGCCGCCGCCACGGCCAGGCCGGCGUGGUGGUGCGCCCCUCACCAUCACACCAUCACCAUCGCCUCUAGCCACGACCAUCUCCACCAUGCACCACCAGCACCACUUCCCACGAGCCGCACCUCACACCACCACCAGCACCACGCCAUCUCCAUCUUCGCCGCCGCGCCACCGCUCGCACAAUCUCUUCUUCCCCUGCUGCUCCUUCCUUCUCCUCACCACGCUGCUGCUUCCCCUCUCACGCCCCUGGUACUGCUCCUUCUCACGUUCCUGCUGCUGCUGCUCGUCUUGUGCCCCUGGUGCUGCUCCUCCUUCCCUCGUCCUUGCUGCUGCUCUCUCCCUCUCUGUUGCUCUUCUCUGAAUCCCCUACUGCUACUACUCCACUUCCUCUGCUCCCCUUCUUCUUCUCUGAAUCUCGCUGCUGCUGCUCCUCCUCUUAAAACUGCUGCUGCUCCCUCUCCCACUUUCCUCGCUGCUGUUCCCUCUCUCUUCUCACCAAAAUUGCUGCUGUCCUCUUCUCCAUUUGCUUGCUGCUACACCCUUCCUGAAGCUCUCUCAACUUUAUUUUGUUCUGUAUUAGUACUGUUUUUGUCUGUAUGCCAGUUAGUUUGCUGUAAUAAUUCAGAUUACUUGUGAUCUUUGUGUUGAAUGCGAUUUCAGUGAACUUGAGAUUUGUAAUAUUGCUCAAUAUUCAGUCUAUAAUGUAUGAAACUUUGUGAUUCGGUGGUGUCUAUAUUCAAUAUAUAUAACCUGUGAUAUAUAUCUUGUUAGAUGGUUCAAUCUUUUAGUUAUUGCUGUACUGAUAUAUGUUAAGGUGAUUUGGCUUGUGUGAUACGAGUCUAGUACAUGUGCUAUAUAAAUUCAUGUGUGUUUGUGGUGUAAACCAUCUAUAUUGUGUCUUUUAAUCUUGUUUCUUCCUUCUUCUUACAUGUUAGAUGGUUAUAUGUGUUCAUGUGUUGCAUCUUCUCGGUGUGUAUUUUAAUUCUUCUAGUAUAAUAAAAAUACCAAAAAGACAGUGAAGAAAAUCUGAACCUUCCUUUACCCUUUUUACAUUUUCUUUGGUGACGAUCUUUGGGUACAACCUUGUUUAGUGUAGGUUUAUUUUCUUGCAUUCAUAAUCUGAAUUGUGUUACCUAGCUUUAGCCAAGCACGUUCAUUGAUUUGCCUAGUCCCUGAGGAGAACACGACACUCGUAGUUUGGGGCGUAAAAACCCCGCUAUAUUACAACUGAUCAGUGCCGAUGAAACUUGCUAGUUAUAGGUGUCAAUCAUAAGUAUGCGUAACCAUUAUGUGUCUCCCGUUCGAAAGGGUUACAUCUAUAAAUAUGCAUGUAUUUGCAUAUUUUAUAAUCGUGAUUAUUUCUAAUUGUCCAACGUUAUCCAUGGACAACCCGAGUAUGUGUAGAUUGGGUUCAUUUUCCCAUAUGCUCAGCUCCGGAUCCGAUGCAGAAUUUCGUCAGUGCCUCCCUGUUGUUCUCUGGGUACACAUCCUCUCUGCUUAUUGCCGAGACGUGUAUCAGGAGAACAGCAGGGAGGUGCUGCCAAAAUUUUGCGUCGGAUCUGGAGCAGAGCAUGGGAAAACGAACCCGAUCUACACAUACUCGGAUGGGAUUAGGACCUAUCCUUACCUAUUAGCGUGUAGGUUGCAUAGACGUAAUAAAACUAACAAACUCCAUUAACUGAUGGAUAUGGUUUGCCUAAUUAUGUAUAUAUUUCUUGUUUGUCCAGUAGGAAGUCAAUAUGAGUGACCGUGCGUGGAUGUACACCGACUACACUAGUCAGUAGGUUUGGACCGAGGAAUGGUUAACAAAACUAAGGGGUUUGUUAGAGCCGCAUUUGCAAAUGGC